This is a long non-coding RNA of Peromyscus leucopus (white-footed mouse), 859 nucleotides long. RefSeq lists it as uncharacterized. The transcript is spliced from 2 exons. Lineage: Eukaryota; Metazoa; Chordata; Mammalia; Rodentia; Cricetidae. The record is from RefSeq and is a predicted model, not a curated record.
GAGAGAGAAGAGGAUUGUAGAAGGAAGGGGGAUCAAGAUCAUGAUGGGAACCUCACAGAGACAGAUGACCCAAACUUGUGGGAGUACAUGGACACUAGUCCAACAGCUGGGGAACCUGCAUGGGACCAACAAGAUCUUUGCAUGUGGGCAACAGUUUGUAGCCUGGUCUGUUUGUGGGACUCCUGGCAGUGGGGCCAGGAUCUAUGCCUGGUACAUGAGAUGGCUUUUUGAAACCUAUUCCAUAUGGUGGGAUGUCUUGCUCAGCCUUGAUGGAGGAGCAUCAUGAGAGUACUGCAUCCGAAUCACUCUAGCUCUUCCUUCUCCAUCCUGGCUCCAAAUCACAUUUGCAUAUAGGACAUGAAAGUGAAAAAGGACUUUGUCUUUGGGAAAAAGGGGAGCUAAAAAGAGAUCUGAGAAAAAAGAUGAGGUCAUGGAGCAUGAGGGAUGUGUUCAACAUGCACAGUUGGAUGAAUUUCUUGUAAAGAGAAAUUUAAAGUUUUAAAGGGAGAAAAGCCAGGAAGAGCCUCAUUUUACUUUCAGAUUUAAGAGAUUUUCAUGCAAAAGUAGCAUUCUAACUACUGAAAUACUGGAAAAUGAUAUUUUACACAAUACCAAAUUCAUGCCAUUUAGAUAAUUUGUGGUCUGUGCCAUUUUCAGGAUACUAUGAGUAUUUUUUCAAAUGUAUUAAUUUUACAUAUUUUAAAGAUGCAUGUCAAAACAUUUUUUAUAGAAUAUCAGCAGAAUAAAUCAGAUGUUUGGUUUGGUUUAAAGUGCAAAAUGUUUUUCACAAAAUAGUAGUUAAGAAUAAAACUGAUUGAAUGAAAUAAUAAAAUAACUUGUGUUGAUUUGGUUUACAUAA